RNAcentral lists this ribosomal RNA (624 nucleotides) under uncultured bacterium. Its description in RNAcentral is "bacterial SSU rRNA". It matches the Rfam family "Bacterial small subunit ribosomal RNA", at positions 338 to 1415 of the family's 1533-position model. The record is from RNAcentral.
CCUACGGGAGGCAGCAGUGAGGAAUAUUGGACAAUGGGCGCAAGCCUGAUCCAGCCAUGCCGCGUGCAGGAUGACGGUCCUAUGGAUUGUAAACUGCUUUUGCACAGGAAGAAACAACGCUACGUGUAGCGUCUUGACGGUACUGUGAGAAUAAGGAUCGGCUAACUCCGUGCCAGCAGCCGCGGUAAUACGGAGGAUCCAAGCGUUAUCCGGAAUCAUUGGGUUUAAAGGGUCCGUAGGCGGUUUAGUAAGUCAGUGGUGAAAGCCCAUCGCUCAACGGUGGAACGGCCAUUGAUACUGCUAGACUUGAAUUAUUAGGAAGUAACUAGAAUAUGUAGUGUAGCGGUGAAAUGCUUAGAGAUUACAUGGAAUACCAAUUGCGAAGGCAGGUUACUACUAAUAUAUUGACGCUGAUGGACGAAAGCGUGGGUAGCGAACAGGAUUAGAUACCCUGGUAGUCCACGCCGUAAACGAUGGAUACUAGCUGUUGGGGGCAACUUCAGUGGCUAAGCGAAAGUGAUAAGUAUCCCACCUGGGGAGUACGUUCGCAAGAAGAGAACGUACAAUAGUAAGUUAGUACGGACGUAGAGACGUUAGCCGACGGACGACGACGAGGGAGGAGGG